UGUACAACUAGAAUGUGGUGGUGAACGUGAUGACAUCUUAAGGCAGAAAAAGGCUGAGAUGCAAAGGAUGGGCCAAGAGGAGAGAGAAACCAUAGCACAAGAAGCUGGGCUGAAGAUUGAAGUACCUGAAGGGCAAGGGCUGGCCAUGAAAGCAGACAUAGGGAUACCCUGGAACAAAUUAAGAGAGUUGAAAAGUCCUCAAUCAUUCCUAAAAUGCACAUCCUCGAGGACCAUGUUAUUACCUGGGUCAAGAUGUACAACACAGGAUUUGGGUUACUGGGUGAGCAAGGGAUUGAGUCUGUGCACCACCAGUUCAACAAGCUGAGUGCUGAUUACGCUGGUGUGAGAAAUAGGAGCAAUCGUGUUAAAUGGGUAAUGGAGGAGCACCACAGACGAUGCCAUCCAGAAAACAGAUCAUAUGUCCCAGUCCGAAAACAACGCAAAUGCAUAGAAGAAUAGGGACAUGCAACAAUGUCACAACUAGAAAUCAAGAUUUUCUUAAAACUCUCCAGUACCUUCUUUCCUGAGUAAACCAUUAUAUAUUUGAAUUUAAUCGUUUUGAAUAUUGUUUACACAAUAUGACAUAACAAUAUAUUAAUACUAUUGUACAAAUGUAAGUAAAAAACAAUAUAUUAAUACUUGUACAAAUGUAAGUAAAACAUUGCUAAUGUAAAUAAGCCUUUUUCUGUAGUCACACAAUAAUUAACGUAAAUAAUAAAUAAAUAAUGUACAUAUUGUAAAGAAUACAAAUUGUAAACAUUGAAACAUAAAUUAAAGUGAAAACUUUCUCUUCUUCA
This is a long non-coding RNA of Nematostella vectensis (starlet sea anemone), 797 nucleotides long. RefSeq lists it as uncharacterized. NCBI's taxonomy places the organism in Eukaryota, Metazoa, Cnidaria, Anthozoa, Actiniaria, Edwardsiidae. The record is from RefSeq and is a predicted model, not a curated record. The transcript is spliced from 2 exons.